Molecule: ribosomal RNA, 253 nt
Filed under: uncultured bacterium
Lineage: Bacteria
Description: partial 16S ribosomal RNA
Rfam family: Bacterial small subunit ribosomal RNA
Source: RNAcentral
UACGGAGGGGGCUAGCGUUGUUCGGAAUUACUGGGCGUAAAGCGCACGUAGGCGGAUUGAUAAGUUGGGGGUGAAAGCCCAAGGCUCAACCUUGGAAUUGCCUUCAAUACUGUCAGUCUAGAGUCCGGAAGAGGUGAGUGGAAUUCCUAGUGUAGAGGUGAAAUUCGUAGAUAUUAGGAAGAACACCAGUGGCGAAGGCGGCUCACUGGUCCGGUACUGACGCUGAGGUGCGAAAGCGUGGGGAGCAAACAGG